CAAAAAUUUGAAUCACCCAGCUGAGCUGACUGUUUGGUAAUUUAAGCUCUGUUUUUUUGAAAUCAUCACUGAUUGUUGGCCGGCCGGCCGUUGAUGAAAGUUCUCUCAAUCUACAGCUGCGGCAAUUAUGAAUCGAAAUCAUUAAUUACUUGUGUACAUCAUUUCCCCUCCUGCAAAAACUUCCUUUCUAGUUUCUUUUUAAGGUAGAGAAGUGAUCAGAGUUUACCUGUGACUAUACGGUUGACAGUGCAUUUAAAGAGAUUUGACCUUUCGUUUGCUUUGAUUGAUGAUCUCUUAUCUUCUUCUUCUGCCAUUUUCAUAGGUUUCUUUUCUUUACUUUUUUUAUUCUCUCCUGGUUCUGUGAUCAGUAGGGG
Molecule: long non-coding RNA, 374 nt
Filed under: Linum usitatissimum (flax)
Lineage: Eukaryota; Viridiplantae; Streptophyta; Magnoliopsida; Malpighiales; Linaceae
Description: long non-coding RNA (LUSI_LNC002654)
Source: RNAcentral